This 468-nucleotide ribosomal RNA is filed under the name uncultured bacterium. Its description in RNAcentral is "partial 16S ribosomal RNA". It matches the Rfam family "Bacterial small subunit ribosomal RNA", at positions 28 to 507 of the family's 1533-position model. The record is from RNAcentral.
GACGAACGCUGGCGGCGUGCCUAACACAUGCAAGUCGAACGGACAGACCCUGCGCUUGUGCGGCUGUCGAGUGGCGCGCGCGUGAGUAUCACGUGUGUAUCCUGCCCUUGUCUUUGGGAUAUCUCUAGGAAACUGCGGCUAAUAUCGGAUAGGAGCUCUUGCUGCAUGGUGUGGGUUGGAAAGUUUCGGCGGUUGGGGAUGGACUCGCUGGUUAUGAGCUUGUUUGUGGGGUUGGUGCUUACAAAGGCUAUGACGGGUAGCCGGCCUGAGAGCGGGACCGGGGACCAUGGGACUGAGAGAGGGAGCAGUAGCCAACGGGACGCAGUAGGGGAGAAUAUGGCAGAAUAGGCGGAAGUGUGAUGCAGUAACGCCGCGAGCGGGAUGACGGGCUUCGGGUUGUAAACCGCUUUCGCAUGUACCGAGGCGGGAGUGACGGUAAUGGGUAAAGAAGCAACGGCUAACUACGUG